AGGACGAACGCUGGCGGCGUGCCUAAUACAUGCAAGUCGAACGGCUUUUCUAUGGAAGCUUGCUUCCACUGAGAAGAUAGUGGCGAACGGGUGAGUAACACGUGGGUAACCUGCCCAUAAGAGGGGGGAUAACAUCCGGAAACGGGUGCUAAUACCGCAUAGUUUUCUUGAUCGCAUGAUUGAGAAAGGAAAGACGGCCUUUGUGCUGUCGCUUAUGGAUGGACCCGCGGCGUAUUAGUUAGUUGGUGAGGUAACGGCUCACCAAGACGAUGAUACGUAGCCGACCUGAGAGGGUGAUCGGCCACAUUGGGACUGAGACACGGCCCAAACUCCUACGGGAGGCAGCAGUAGGGAAUCUUCCGCAAUGGACGAAAGUCUGACGGAGCAACGCCGCGUGAGUGAAGAAAGGUUUUCGGAUCGUAAAACUCUGUUGUCAGAGAAGAACAAGUUGGAGAGUAACUGCUCCAGCCUUGACGGUAUCUGACCAGAAAGCCACGGCUAACUACGUGCCAGCCGCGGC
Molecule: ribosomal RNA, 520 nt
Filed under: uncultured bacterium
Lineage: Bacteria
Description: bacterial SSU rRNA
Rfam family: Bacterial small subunit ribosomal RNA
Source: RNAcentral